Long non-coding RNA from Mauremys reevesii (Reeves's turtle), 492 nucleotides. RefSeq lists it as uncharacterized. The transcript is spliced from 2 exons. The record is from RefSeq and is a predicted model, not a curated record. Lineage: Eukaryota; Metazoa; Chordata; Testudines; Geoemydidae.
GAUGUUUGCACUGUGGACCUGAUCCAGCAUUCAUUAAAAUCGAUGGGACGUCUUUCACUGAUUUCAGUAAACAUUGGAUCCAAGUCUACACGAGCUGAUGAAAAUGUAAUUUAUUUGUUCAAUAUGUGUUCCACUCAAGGAUUCUCAGAAAAAAGUUGGGAGCACAUACUGUAUCCAGUAUAAGUACAAGGGCCCAAUCCUGCAAGAAGCUGAGCUACACUCAUUUCUGCUGAAGCCAAUGGCAUUCAUCACUUCACAGCAACAGGCCCAGGAUGACUUAGGAGCUGUGGGUUCAUCCUUAGUAUGACUCUUUGCUUUUUGUCAGCUUAUGACAAAUGUAUUUUACUGGACUCUUUUGUCUAAUAUAAUUUUCUUUCCUUACUGGUUUAACAAAAAAAUCAAACAAACCUUUUCAGGAGAAGGAGAAAACAGUGAAUAAGAAACUGAAAAACAAGGAAAGAAAAAAAACAAUAAAGAAUAAAGAAACACUGA